This is a long non-coding RNA of Glycine soja, 866 nucleotides long. RefSeq lists it as uncharacterized. The record is from RefSeq and is a predicted model, not a curated record. Lineage: Eukaryota; Viridiplantae; Streptophyta; Magnoliopsida; Fabales; Fabaceae. The transcript has 2 exons.
UAUAUAAGGCACAAACCAACCCUAGGAGACCUUGAGUGGUGUGCCAUCUAGCAUAGAGGAGAGGGGGUCAAAUUCUCUCAUUCUCUCUUGACUUGGAGACCAAGUAGGGAUCAUUGGGGGCCAAUUUGAGGAGCUUUCCUAGAUAAUCGCCAUGGAAAUAUUGUUCUCUUCAUCAUCUCUUUCCAUUCCUAGACUCAAUAUCUCAUUUUUUUCCUUUUGUUCAUCUCCAUGGAAAGAGCUUUCGAAGUGCUCUUUACUCUCUUCCCCUAAGCAAAUUUUGCGGACUUCAAAGAGAAGAAGAAUAAAAGAUUUUGGAGUUGGAGUGGCUCACUCAGCGCGUCUAUACGUGCUAAGCGCAAGCAACACAACAAGGAAGGUCACAUGACAAGCAUUUGGAAGAAAAGAGGCCAAUUGGAAGUUCUUGAAGGCGCUCAAUGCGUCAAUACUUGCUAAGCUCAUUGUUUUCACAGUGAGGAUUUGGGCUCAGUGCAACAUGCUGGGCUAAGCCCACGGCCACUUAAUCUAAUGUUGCUUUUGCAUGUAUGCCACAUGUUGGGCUAAGCAAGCAGACGAUUAUGCAAUAACGACAACGUAGUGCAUUUGGCCCUAUUUAAGCUCCAUGUAUGCAAAUUGAAGGCAAAUUUGGUUGGGGGAGCUAUCUAGGGUUGAGGUGAAGACUAGGAAGCUCUCCCUUGCUCUUCAUGGCUUCCCUACCAUUUCUCAUUAUCUAUUUCAUCUAUUUUCUUCUUUUCUUCUUAUGAUUAUGUAGUUAGAUUUAUUCAUUUUGGAGAUUGAUGUAACUUAACUCUUUUUUAUGUUUACAUUUUAAUUAUUAAUUAAUGUUUAUUAUUCAUUAUUAAGUGUUA